AGUGAACGCUGGCGGUAUGCCUAACACAUGCAAGUCGAACGGCAGCACAGUAAGAGCUUGCUCUUACGGGUGGCGAGUGGCGGACGGGUGAGGAAUACAUCGGAAUCUACUUUUUCGUGGGGGAUAACGUAGGGAAACUUACGCUAAUACCGCAUACGACCUACGGGUGAAAGCAGUGGAUCUUCUGACCUUGCGCGAUUGGACGCGCCGAUGUCGGAUUAGCUAGUUGGCGGGGUAAAGGCCCACCAAGUCGACGAUCCGUAGCUGGUCUGAGAGGAUGAUCGGCGACACUGGAGCUGGAACAGGGUCAAGGCUACUACGGGAGGCAGCAGUGUGGUAUGGUGGACAGUGGGCGGAAGCAUGAUCCAGCCAGACCGAGUGGGUGAAGAAGGCCUUCGGGUUGUAAAGACCUUUUGUUGGGAAAGAAAAGCAGCAGGUUAAUACGCCGCUGUUCUGACGGUAACCAAAGAAUAAGCACCGGCUAACUACGUG
This 492-nucleotide ribosomal RNA is filed under the name uncultured bacterium. RNAcentral describes it as "partial 16S ribosomal RNA". It matches the Rfam family "Bacterial small subunit ribosomal RNA", at positions 29 to 507 of the family's 1533-position model. The record is from RNAcentral.